CUGGGAAGUUCAAGACCAAUGCACGAGAAUUUGGUCUAAAGAGAAUCUUCUUGCUCUGAACACACAUAGUAGAAGGCAGAAGGGCAAGAGAGAGAACAAAGUCUGUGUCUCCACAUGGCAGAAGAGCAGAGGAGACAGAACCUACUCCUCUAUGGCAACCACCCCAUCAAUGACAAAAAUCCUAGAAGGAUGUAUGUAUAGGAAGUUGAAGUGUUGAGAAGAGAAUGGCUCAGAGUCAAGCGGGAACAAGAUUCAAACUUCAGAGAGAGAGGGAAGAAAAACAUUUAAAUAUAUCUGGCAUAAUCCAAGACUAUUUACGACAAGUGUUCUGUGUUUCUAAUAAUAAAACAGACUUCACCUCGGAGUACCUGCAGAACUGGGACCCCAAUGACCAGGGAGAAUGAAGAACAACUUGUUGAAGGUAUAGAGAAGGCAGCAAAUCAUACAAGAAGGUCCAUCCCAAACCAGAGAUAGUAUAGAUAAAUCUCUCAUGUUAACUAUGGAAAAAAUAAAGGAAGAUGACGUAUUUUAAUAGAAGGGAAAUUGCGCUUAUUGGGAGUAAGAACACUGAAUUGACUGAAUAUCUUAAAGAGA
This 594-nucleotide long non-coding RNA is filed under the name Homo sapiens (human). Its description in RNAcentral is "non-protein coding ATXN8OS:7". The record is from RNAcentral. Lineage: Eukaryota; Metazoa; Chordata; Mammalia; Primates; Hominidae.